This 352-nucleotide ribosomal RNA is filed under the name uncultured bacterium. Its description in RNAcentral is "bacterial SSU rRNA". It matches the Rfam family "Bacterial small subunit ribosomal RNA", at positions 28 to 381 of the family's 1533-position model. The record is from RNAcentral.
GACGAACGCUGGCGGCGUGCUUAACACAUGCAAGUCGAGCGGUAAGGCCCUUUCGGGGGUACACGAGCGGCGAACGGGUGAGUAACACGUGGGUGACCUGCCCUCAGCUCUGGGAUAAGCCUGGGAAACCGGGUCUAAUACUGGAUAUGACUCCAUGACGCAUGUUGUGGGGUGGAAAGCCUUGUGCGGCUGAGGAUGGGCCCGCGGCCUAUCAGCUUGUUGGUGGGGNGAUGGCCUACCAAGGCGACGACGGGUAGCCGGCCUGAGAGGGCGACCGGCCACACUGGGACUGAGACACGGCCCAGACUCCUACGGGAGGCAGCAGUGGGGAAUCUUGCGCAAUGGGCGAAAG